UAAGGAAAACUCUAAUUAACAUCAUUUGGAAAAUUUGUUUUCUGCAAACGAAAGUGAGAGGAAUGCAAACAGGAGAAACCACGAGGACGACAGCACAAAUGGCGUAAUCACCAUGCCAAAUUGCUUUGAAACUGGGUUGCUUUCUUUCAAUGCCCUCUAUGGUUCUGGCAGGCAUCCUCUCAUUUUACACGGAUCAACAGAAUCAAGAGGUAGUGAGCUGAGUUGCACUGGAAAUGGUGUAGAGAUGGUGGCUGCGUAAAUUUAAUCAAGCCUAUUCUUCCAUUAUCACACUUAGUUUGUAUCCUGAGAAAUGUAGUCUGCUGUUGCCUGCUCUGUAUCCUGAGAGAUGCCUAGCCUGUUUAUGAGAGAUGACUAGCCUGCUUUUGAGAUACGUCUAGUCUGCUUCCGUUCUGUAUCCUGAAUCAUGCCAAGAGUGCCUGCUGCUGACUUCUGGAAUAAAACUCAUUAAAACCCCA
Molecule: long non-coding RNA, 476 nt
Organism: Rhineura floridana
Lineage: Eukaryota; Metazoa; Chordata; Lepidosauria; Squamata; Rhineuridae
Exons: 2
Source: RefSeq, a predicted model, not a curated record